CUUUUCUGCCAGCGAAUCGGUUACUACCUAGUUUUGUGGUGUUGGCAGUCGGUGUUAUAGGAUGUGAUGAGCUAAGUGGUGCACUGGUGAUAGAUGAAGUGGGCGGAAGACUGCAGAAUGCAUGCGCAGCAGGAGUUUGUCAAGCAGGACAGUUCCAACAUAGACGGGAAAGCGUUAAGACGUGUAGAAUUCGUGAAAGAGACCGCUGAUUUCGAAGAGAAAUGUUCCUUGAAGGAUGUAGCCAAAAAAAAUUUGUCGGAUGGCGUGAUAUGGUCAUGUGGAAGGCCUU
RNAcentral lists this unclassified non-coding RNA (289 nucleotides) under Octopus sinensis (East Asian common octopus). Its description in RNAcentral is "serpin B3-like, transcript variant X2". Lineage: Eukaryota; Metazoa; Mollusca; Cephalopoda; Octopoda; Octopodidae. The record is from RNAcentral.